Molecule: ribosomal RNA, 254 nt
Filed under: uncultured bacterium
Lineage: Bacteria
Description: partial 16S ribosomal RNA
Rfam family: Bacterial small subunit ribosomal RNA
Source: RNAcentral
UACAGAGGGUGCGAGCGUUGUCCGGAAUCACUGGGCGUAAAGGGCGCGUAGGCUGGCGCGACAAGUCAGUGGUGAAAGUUCGACGCUCAACGUCGAAUCGGCCACUGAUACUGUUGGGCUUGAGCACUGUAGAGGCUAAUGGAAUUCCUGGUGUAGCGGUGGAAUGCGCAGAUAUCAGGAGGAACACCGGUGGCGAAGGCGGGUCUCUGGGCAGUAACUGACGCUGAGGAGCGAAAGCGUGGGGAGCGAACAGG